UCUAGUAGCAUUUUAUAAUCUAACAGAAAUUAUAAUAUUUCCAUAUUUUUUUCAACAUUUAAAAAUUUUAAAAAUGUUUAAAUCUAACCGAAAUUUAAAACCGUAUUUUUUUAUUUGUUUAUUUUGCAUGUGUUUAUAAUCAAUUUAGUUGGAUCUUAGAAAUUUCUAUAUAAAUUGUCAAUACUUGGAUUUAAAAUUACAAUAUUUAUAUUUAGAGUGUAACAUUAAUAUUUAUUUAUUUUUGUAUAGAUAAUAAUAUAAAUAAUAUAAAAUUAGAACUAACGUAAAGAUUAUCCACUGAAUAUUUUAAUACAUAUUUAUUUUAUCACUGCCUGAAAAAAUCUCAUCAUACGAUACGAUCGCACUCCAUACAAACUGAGUAAUGUAAAAAUUCCUUGUCAGAUUACACAUUUCCGAUUCUCGAUCAGUUCGCUGCAUAAUAUAAACUAAUUAUAUUGUCAUUUGCUUUUCAAAUUCCCAGUUUGGAAUGAGAAUUUUAUACACAAGUAUACAGACAUGCAGAUAUAUACUCACAUAUACAUACGCAAGGACGUGCAUUGAUCACUGCUGCUGCAGCACUAUGGAAAAUUAGUUGCUGAAUAACUUCUAGUUCUAGAAGUACUAUCUAAAUGAAAUUCUCCAAGUAUGACUAAGAAUUCGAUACGUAUUCCAGGCCCUCAACUUCCGUUCUUGAUUAAUAAUAAUCGAAAUAAAGUCUCAAGGGCUUAGAUGGCUGGGCAUUUCAUUUGUUGAAGUACUAUUAUAACAAUUAUGGUUAAGUCGAAAUUGCAUGUGAAAUUUAAAAAAUAUAUCGUUUAAUAUAUUUAUUAUUAUUUAUUUUUAGCAGUUUUUACUCUGAUUAAUUUGAUAGACCCGAUAUUUUUUGAGAUGCGUAAAUAAAUACUAAAAUAUUUUAAUAAUGUUUCGGUAGCUAAUU
Long non-coding RNA from Drosophila mojavensis, 937 nucleotides. RefSeq lists it as uncharacterized. Lineage: Eukaryota; Metazoa; Arthropoda; Insecta; Diptera; Drosophilidae. The record is from RefSeq and is a predicted model, not a curated record. The transcript has 3 exons.